Molecule: ribosomal RNA, 507 nt
Filed under: uncultured bacterium
Lineage: Bacteria
Description: partial 16S ribosomal RNA
Rfam family: Bacterial small subunit ribosomal RNA
Source: RNAcentral
GACGAACGCUGGCGGCGUGCCUAAUACAUGCAAGUCGAACGCUUCUUUCCUCCCGAGUGCUUGCACUCAAUUGGAAAGAGGAGUGGCGGACGGGUGAGUAACACGUGGGUAACCUACCCAUCAGAGGGGGAUAACACUUGGAAACAGGUGCUAAUACCGCAUAACAGUUUAUGCCGCAUGGCAUAAGAGUGAAAGGCGCUUUCGGGUGUCGCUGAUGGUUGGACCCGCGGUGCAUUAGCUAGUUGGUGAGGUAACGGCUCACCAAGGCCACGAUGCAUAGCCGACCUGAGAGGGUGACAGGCCAACCUGGGACUGAGACACGGCCCAGACUCCUACGGGAGGCAGCAGUAGGGAAUCUUCGGCAAUGGAGGAAAGUCUGACCGAGCAACGCCGCGUGAGUGAAGAAGGUUUUCGGAUCGUAAAACUCUGUUGUUAGAGAAGAACAAGGACGUUAGUAACUGAACGUCCCCUGACGGUAUCUAACCAGAAAGCCACGGCUAACUACGU